Passer domesticus (house sparrow) is the source of this 1360-nucleotide long non-coding RNA. RefSeq lists it as uncharacterized. Lineage: Eukaryota; Metazoa; Chordata; Aves; Passeriformes; Passeridae. The transcript has 4 exons. The record is from RefSeq and is a predicted model, not a curated record.
GGGAAGGGGGGGAGCAGCAGCUGCGAGCAGAGCACGUGGGAGCCGUGAUGGCAUUUGGAAGCAGGGAUAUUUGGAGGCGGUGAUGUUGGGAACGGGGAUGUUGGGAAGCAGGGCGUGUUUGGAAGAGGGGAUGUUCGGAAGCGGGGAUGUUUCCAUGCCCGCCGGCAUUGUCCCCGUCCGGCCCGGUGUUAAGUUCCAGCAUCACUGCCUCGAUUUAGGCACAGACGUAUCCAUCAUGGGAAGCUCACAGAAAGAUUAGUGUCCCCCUGCUCUGUCCCUCUGCCCAGCUAAGGGAAUGGCCACAUCUGCUGUCAGCACAAAUCAAAUAUAAAAUUACUGUUGGAACUGUCAUGCUGUGGAAGGGGCAUCUUGCUGGAGGCUGGUGAGGCUCUAAUUCACACCCAGAAACAUCCCUCCACGAGACACAGGUGGAGCAUUUUAAGGCAGGUUGCAGCUCAGCAUCACCCAUUUGAUUCUCUCUAACCAUUCCUUUGCAUCGUGGCAACACAGAGCUUUCACAGCAUAAACAAGUCCAAGGAAUAGAUGGAUUUCCUCCCUGUGAAAUAAGUAAAGCAGAUGAUUGAAUAAAGUUUCAUUUCCCUGCCUGGUUCAGCAGCUCUCUCUUGCUCUAUUACAUUUCCUAACUUGCCUCAGCAGCUCUCUUACCCAGCUCUGUGACUCCCUGAGUGGGUGAUGCUCUUGGGUUUCCUCUGCACUUGAAAUCCUGGCCUGACCCUUUUACACAUGGCCAAAUGCUGCUCUCAAUUCCCCCGGGUUAAUCCAGACUAAAUCCCUGGGAUUAACUGGAUUUAACCCUGUGCUGGCUGAGCGCUGUGUGCAGCCCUGACUCGUGGUGUUGCCCAGGGUCUGCUGUGAUCUGUGUCCUUGCCAGGAGCCACAGGUGGGGUAAAGAGAUGCUGAAUAAAACAAUAAACCCCUCCACACUCCACAAGCAAUGGCAGGGCAACCACCUCCUGAUGCAGGAGAUCCACCCAAAAUCACCCGAAGUCAUCCUUAGCAGAAUCAUCUCUUCCUCCCACUUUCACAUCUUUCCUCCCUCUCUGCCUGCCCUGAGAGUUUUGCUGCACUGUUUAUCAGGAUUUAUUUUGUUUUUAUUCUCUCUGGUUUCCUCCCUAGGAGCAUAUGACAUCCAGACCGGGGGUUUGAGCAGCUGUGCCCCUCCCAUGCAGGGUAUUCCCUGCUCUCUUUCCUUGGGAUGGCAGCACAGGGUUUUGUUCUAGUGGUUUUCUCUGGGAGCUGGGUGAAAUAUUCAGGGCCUUUGUUUGACCAAACUCAGGCUGAAGGCCUGUGUGGGAUUGGUUUUUUACCUUCUGGGUAUUUUCUUGGCCUGAAGUGAACA